This 286-nucleotide long non-coding RNA is filed under the name Coturnix japonica (Japanese quail). RNAcentral's name for it is "lncRNA (ENSCJPG00005001254.1)". The record is from RNAcentral. Lineage: Eukaryota; Metazoa; Chordata; Aves; Galliformes; Phasianidae.
GGAAGCUUUUUGCUGAAGGAGUAUGAGUAGCCUUAAAUACAGACAUCUCACUGGAGCAUGCCACUGUUGAAAACAAUAGAAAGGCAUCAUGCAAACCAACUGGUCCAUGGAUGAAGCAGCAGAACUUCUUAAUAAUUUUCAGUUCAUAGCCAUCUUGGUAGAGACUCACAAUGGAUGUAUGAGCACAAACCCUGAAAUUAUGGAGAUAACAUUGGGAUUUCGGUGAGUACAUACUGAAUGUUACAGCAAAUUCAGUCCUAAUGCAGCACAAUAUAUCCUUAAGGUU